Molecule: ribosomal RNA, 508 nt
Filed under: uncultured bacterium
Lineage: Bacteria
Description: partial 16S ribosomal RNA
Rfam family: Bacterial small subunit ribosomal RNA
Source: RNAcentral
AUUGAACGCUGGCGGCAUGCCUUACACAUGCAAGUCGAACGGCAGCGGGGGAGAAGCUUGCUUUUCCUGCCGGCGAGUGGCGAACGGGUGAGUAAUACAUCGGAACGUGCCCUGUAGUGGGGGAUAACUAGUCGAAAGAUUAGCUAAUACCGCAUACGACCUGAGGGUGAAAGUGGGGGACCGCAAGCCAUCAUGCUAUAGGAGGGGCGGAUGUCUGAUUAGCCAGUUGGUGGGGUAAAGGCCUACCAAGGCGACGAUCAGUAGCUGGUCUGAGAGGACGAUCAGCCACACUGGGACUGAGACACGGCCCAGACUCCUACGGGAGGCAGCAGUGGGGAAUUUUGGACAAUGGGCGAAAGCCUGAUCCAGCAAUGCCGCGUGUGUGAAGAAGGCCUUCGGGUUGUAAAGCACUUUUGUCCGGAAAGAAAUGGCUCUGGUUAAUACCUGGGGUCGAUGACGGUACCGGAAGAAUAAGGACCGGCUAACUACGUGCCAGCCGCCGCGGUAA